CCUUAGGCCAAAAUACGCCAGCCGGUGGAUAACUCGGCUUGGGGGCUGAGGAAGGGCGUGGCAAGCUGCGAUAAGCUCCGGGUAGCCGCAAGCGGGUGUUGAUCCGGAGAUCCCCGAAUGGGAUUUCCCGACGUCCGACGUUUCGGCGUUGGACGUCGCUCCGUGGCCUCGAGCUGCGGAGCGGGAACCGGCCGAACGGAAGCAUCCAAGUAGGCCGAGGAAAAGAAAUCAAAAGAGACUCCCUUAGUAACGGCGAGUGAAAAGGGAUUAGGCCAAACCAAACCCGCAUGGGAAACUGUGUGGGGAUGUGGAGUGUGGGCCAGCCGCCCUCCUGUGCCCUGCGACUCGAAGCGACCUGGAAAGGUCCGCCUCAGAGGGUGACAGCCCCGUAGAGGAAGCAGGGAGUGGAGAUGGGCUGGACCCCGAGUACCGCACCUCGGAUAUGGUGCGGGAAUACGGGAGCCACUGGCUUCUAAGCCUAAGUACUUCCCAAGACCGAUAGCGCAACAGUACCGUGAGGGAAAGUUGAAAACUGCCCCGAGAGGGGGGUUAAAAGCGGUUGAAACCGGCUGGUAACGGACGAGGGCGGCGCGCAAGGUACUCCGUCCGAACAUGCCGGAUAGGUGUGGAGGACGGAUUAUCCGGCGUCGUCCGCUCCGUCUUGAAACACGGGCCGGGGAGUUCACCGUCGUGGCGAGCUUAACCGCAUCACGCGGGUAGGCGAAGGGAAACCAAGAAGCCCGCAACCAGCAUCCGCUGGCGAGG
RNAcentral lists this ribosomal RNA (765 nucleotides) under Candidatus Caldarchaeum sp. Its description in RNAcentral is "partial 23S ribosomal RNA". It matches the Rfam family "Archaeal large subunit ribosomal RNA", at positions 1 to 751 of the family's 2987-position model. The record is from RNAcentral. Lineage: Archaea; Thermoproteati; Nitrososphaerota; Candidatus Caldarchaeales; Candidatus Caldarchaeaceae.